Long non-coding RNA from Peromyscus californicus insignis, 1631 nucleotides. RefSeq lists it as uncharacterized. The record is from RefSeq and is a predicted model, not a curated record. NCBI's taxonomy places the organism in Eukaryota, Metazoa, Chordata, Mammalia, Rodentia, Cricetidae. The transcript is spliced from 4 exons.
GUCAGAGUGAGGGAGCAGAGAGCGGAUUUCUCCUGUGAAUUGCUUCAUCUGAACCUCUAGUAAAGAGUGGCGAGUCUACAGCCUGUCCAGUAGAUGAUAUUAACCAUCAUAGUGGAAGGAAAGCGUCAGCUCUGCCCUCCAGAGGCACACAGAGAGGCACACACACCCUACAACACACACAGCAGGCUUUUCAACGUGGCAUCAGGAAGCCAGAGCCUGUCCUCCCUCUUCAUAGUAAGCCCCAGCUAAGCCCCUGUGAGUCUGGAGCGGUGUGCAGGGCCUCUUACGAAGCUGGUCAGAUCUGUGCUCUGCUGUGGUGGAUGUGGUGUGUUCAGACAACCGGCCUGAUGAACAGUGUGGUAGGUAAUAUUAUCAAUGGGGCAAGUUGUGGAAUCACCUGGGAGAUAGCUCUGUGAGGGAGUUUCCGGACUGCGUUCAUCGAGGAGGAAAGACCCACCUUAACUGGGCAGCCCCAUCCAACUGACUAAAAAGAAGGCAAGAGCUGAGCACCAGCAGCGUUCAUCUCUCUCAGCUUCCUGACUGCAGAUGCACAGACUCUGACCAGCCGCCUCACCCUCCUUCUGCAUGAACUCUGUCCUCCAACUGUGAGCUACAAUGAGCUUUUAAGUCACCUUUGUCAACCAUUCUGUCCCACACUGAGAAGUAACUAAGUAACAGGAAAGGUUUUAUUCAGCAUGCAAACCUCUGAGAGCUGAGCCCUCCCUCCUGGAAGCAGCAGAGCCAGAGGUCAAGGUCAAAGUGCCUGGUUAGAAUCCCUGCUUGGCUGCUUACCCCAGCUCUGCUUCUGGGAUACAGUUAUUGCCUUUGUGUUUGUGGAGGUCCUCAUCUGUGACGUGGGACACCGAGAGCCUCUCUAUCACAGGGUAGUUUUGAAGACUGAGGAACACUUGCAAGUCAACCUAGGAAAAACUGCCCAGAAGGCAAAAACUGCUCUCACUGUGAGUUUUCAGGAGGGUCUUUCCAUGGCUGUUGGGGAUUAUCGACUCCACGAGAUCUACCCUUCCCUUUGCUGUGAGUUCCCAGGGAUGCGUAUUCCUGCUUCGCAGCCUGUCUGCUCCGCCUGACCUCGCAUCCUCUGACUGUGAGCUGCUACUUUUCUCAUCUGCUAACUACCCUUCCACGUGACUUUGCCAUAACGUGAGCGCACAGCUGCUUCGAGGGUUGUUACGUGAAUCUGAAAUGUCCUACAUGCUCAAGCUUUAGGUACUUGGUCCCCAGCCACGGUGCAGUUUGGGGAUGUUCUGGCAACUUUGGGAGGUGGGAUGUAAUUGAGAGAAAAUCACAUCAUCUCUGCCCCCCAGUUCGCUAACUUGUCAGGGGAACUGGUGCACAUGUCUUCCCUCCUGUGGCAGCCUAAACCUUGUGAUACCUGGGAACCCAAAACAAUCUUUCUUUCCACGAAUUGUUUGUUAGUGUGCUCCUCACAGCGAUGCAGAGGUGACUAACGCGUGAACGUGUUUCUCCUCUGAAAUCUUAAAGUUGACCCACUGUUAGUCUCAUCCCUACAGCAUCACCCCACUCUACUGUUGUCUGUCUGCCUUCAUCUUGUUCAGGCUCUCAAAGGGUGUGGGCACUGACAAGGGACAAUGUGUCCAGAGUACCGGCAACAA